GAGCCGCUAGCUCAGUUGGUAGAGCAACGGCCUUUUAAGCCGUGGGUCGAAGGUUCGAGCCCUUCGCGGCUCA
RNAcentral lists this transfer RNA (73 nucleotides) under Nitrospina gracilis Nb-211. Its description in RNAcentral is "tRNA-Lys". It matches the Rfam family "tRNA". Rfam says of the family: Transfer RNA (tRNA) molecules are approximately 80 nucleotides in length. Their secondary structure includes four short double-helical elements and three loops (D, anti-codon, and T loops). RNAcentral also lists the same sequence under 5 other names. The record is from RNAcentral. Lineage: Bacteria; Pseudomonadati; Nitrospinota; Nitrospinia; Nitrospinales; Nitrospinaceae.